RNAcentral lists this ribosomal RNA (463 nucleotides) under Corynebacterineae bacterium CL6.26. RNAcentral describes it as "bacterial SSU rRNA". It matches the Rfam family "Bacterial small subunit ribosomal RNA", at positions 17 to 497 of the family's 1533-position model. Lineage: Bacteria; Bacillati; Actinomycetota; Actinomycetes; Mycobacteriales; Corynebacteriaceae. The record is from RNAcentral.
CCCUGGCUCAGGACGAACGCCGGCGGCGUGCUUAACACAUGCAAGUCGAGCGGUAAGGCCCUUCGGGGUACACGAGCGGCGAACGGGUGAGUAACACGUGGGUGAUCUGCCCUGCACUUCGGGAUAAGCCUGGGAAACUGGGUCUAAUACCGGAUAUGACCAAAGGCUGCAUGGCUUUUGGUGGAAAGGUUUACUGGUGCAGGAUGGGCCCGCGGCCUAUCAGCUUGUUGGUGGGGUAAUGGCCUACCAAGGCGACGACGGGUAGCCGACCUGAGAGGGUGACCGGCCACACUGGGACUGAGACACGGCCCAGACUCCUACGGGAGGCAGCAGUGGGGAAUAUUGCACAAUGGGCGAAAGCCUGAUGCAGCGACGCCGCGUGAGGGAUGAAGGCCUUCGGGUUGUAAACCUCUUUCAGCAGGGACGAAGCGAGAGUGACGGUACCUGCAGAAGAAGCACCGGC